Long non-coding RNA from Setaria italica (foxtail millet), 1658 nucleotides. RefSeq lists it as uncharacterized. NCBI's taxonomy places the organism in Eukaryota, Viridiplantae, Streptophyta, Magnoliopsida, Poales, Poaceae. The transcript has 4 exons. The record is from RefSeq and is a predicted model, not a curated record.
CUCGACGUCUCCACCCACCCCUUCCGUCGACGUCCCACUGCAGUUCUGGAUGCUCAUUUCUAUGCUAUUUUGGUUCCUUUUUUUUACUUUUGAUUGCGUAUUUUAGAUCUCGAUUUGAUUGAUUUAAUCUCUGUAAAUGUAGUUCUGAUUGAUCUCUACUACGAUUUGGUAUUAUGGAGUAUCAUUGUACUGUGUGGUUUAGCAAAUCCGUGGUGAUUUUUAUUAUCCGCAGUUGAUUUUGGUUCAAAUGUUCAUGCGGAUCCCAAAUCGCAUCAGAUGAUGUGUCUAUUUGGAGCAUUGACUUGCUAUUUCGGAUGAUGUUGUUUUGUCUAGUUGCAGUUCUGGUAGCAAACUUUCUUGUUGGGGUUCAUAUAAAAUGCUACUAACUCCGUUUGCUAUUAUUGCUGCAGUUAUAAAUAUCAUUUCUACAUGUGCCAAUGAACUGUAAUGUUCCGGUUCAUAAAAAAAUGCUACUACCUCUGCUUGGUAUAAUACUUUACAAUGUAGGACUUUUAGUAUUGUUCUUCUCAGUUCCUGGAAAUCUUUUUAGUAUUGUUCUUCUCGGUUCCUGAAAAUCUUGACUGAUCAUCACAAAUUUUGCUGCUGUUUGGUGGCUUUAUGUACCCAUAUGUCUUCUACCAUGCGCUCAUCCUUUUUGGCAUUGGUGUAAGAUAUCUGAAUGGUGUAUAUUUUUGGAUCUAUGUAUUUUUCUCAUGGCAUCUAUUGUUAGGCUGUCAAUAGUGUAUUUUCCUAGAAUUUCUACUAGCUCUGUAUAGGUCAGCCACAUCGGCCUUGUCAUAUCCACUUUUUUAAUGGUUCUAUGUUGGAAUUUCUAUAAUUAUUUCAUGCUUCUACAUGCAAAUUUCUAUAAACUAAUUUGUUUUAUCUAUUCUUUUCUUUUCAUCAGAGAUUAAUUCAAUCUUCUUCUCCUGAUUCAAAUCAAUCUGCAAUGAAGAUUUGUUCUUUUUAAUCUCCAACUCCCUCGAAGAGUUGUUCUUUAUUCUCCAACUAGCUUCAAGGAAAAUGCUGAAUUUGGUGGGGAAACUUGUUGAGGUGAAUGUCUUUCUAAACAAGGCCCUUGCGCAGAAUUUGGAUCUAAAGGAUGGACCCACCAACACCCUAGUGUAUGCUGCUGUUGAAAAAGCAUUUCCUUCUGAGGAGGUCUUGUACAAAGUCACCCAAGUUAUUCAGAAUAUGCUUAAUAAUGGUGAUUUCAAGAUUGAUCAGAUUGCUGCUUCUGGGGAAUUUCUUGUGAAGUGCUCUUCUCCCGCUGAUGCUAACAAACUCCAUGGGAAAGUCCAAGUUUGUGAGAACACUAUGAUCGGAUUUCGAAAGAUGUCAUUUGUUUACCUUCAAGAUGAUUUGGCUAGCAGACUUAACCUCAAUGUCAGAGAUGCCAACCCUGAUGAAUGGAAAUCUGAGGUAGACAAAGAGUACUUUGAAACGCAAGAAAGAGGAAAGGGCCCAGAAGAAGGCAGAAGAAAGGAGGACUCUAAGGAUCAGAGAUGAUGGCGCUAGUUCCUCUAAGAAGAGAAAGAUGUGACUGCAGUAUGUACUUUUAUGCCACAUUCCACUUAAUGUUGGUGAUGUUAUUUGUCUUUCUGUAAUAGUGUUCCCUAUGUUCACAAGAUCUGAAUUACAAUAUGUUUUGACUAAUC